Molecule: ribosomal RNA, 433 nt
Filed under: uncultured bacterium
Lineage: Bacteria
Description: partial 16S ribosomal RNA
Rfam family: Bacterial small subunit ribosomal RNA
Source: RNAcentral
AACGAACGCUGGCGGCAUGCCUAACACAUGCAAGUCGAACGAUCCCUUCGGGGAUAGUGGCGCACGGGUGCGUAACGCUUGGGAACCUGCCCUUAGGUUCGGAAUAACUCAGAGAAAUUUGAGCUAAUACCGGAUAAUGUCUUCGGACCAAAGAUUUAUCGCCUUUGGAUGGGCCCGCGUUGGAUUAGCUAGUUGGUGGGGUAAAGGCCUACCAAGGCGACGAUCCAUAGCUGGUCUGAGAGGAUGAUCAGCCACACUGGGACUGAGACACGGCCCAGACUCCUACGGGAGGCAGCAGUGGGGAAUAUUGGACAAUGGGCGAAAGCCUGAUCCAGCAAUGCCGCGUGAGUGAUGAAGGCCUUAGGGUUGUAAAGCUCUUUUACCCGGGAUGAUAAUGACAGUACCGGGAGAAUAAGCCCCGGCUAACUCCGUG